GCCAUGCAUGUCUAAGUACAAGCGAAAAUAAAGUGAAACCGCAAAAGGCUCAUUAUAUCAGUUAUGGUUCCUUAGAUCGUAUCCACAAUUACUUGGAUAACUGUGGUAAUUCUAGAGCUAAUACAUGCAAUUAAAGAGAUACCAGUAAAACGGGAUCUCUGCUUUUAUUAGAUUUAAACCAAUGGGGAUUGCUUCGGCUUUCUCAAUUUAAAUGGUUGAACUCUGGAUAAUUUGUUGAUCGCAUGGUCUUGUACCGGCGACGGAUCUUUCAAAUGUCUGCCCUAUCAACUAUUGAAGGUAGUGUUUUGGACUACCUUGGUUGCAACGGGUAACGGGGAAUCAGGGUUCGAUUCCGGAGAGGGAGCCUGAGAAACGGCUACCACAUCUAAGGAAGGCAGCAGGCGCGUAAAUUACCCACUCCCGGCACGGGGAGGUAGUGACGAAAAAUAACAAUACAAGACUCACAUCCGAGGCCUUGUAAUUGGAAUGAGUAGAUUUUAAAUCCUUCUGCAAGGAUCAAUUGGUGGGCAAGUCUGGUGCCAGCAGCCGCGGUAAUUCCAGCACCAAUAGCGUAUAUUAAAGUUGUUGCGGUUAAAACGUUCGUAGUUGAACUUGUGUUUCGCACGGGCAAUACCUAGGACUAGGUAACUAGGACGGUAUUUGUCUUAUCUUUCCAUUUCCUUAAUAGGGAUUUGGGAAAAGUGCGUGAACGUAUUAUCGGCGUGUUUCAUUUUCAUUUUCUAAUGGAAAUAAACACAUAAGCCCAUUUCAGUGCUCUUUACCGAGUGUUGUUGUGGGCCGAUACAAAUUACUUUGAACAAAUUAGAGUGCUUAAUGCAGGCUUGUAAUGCCUGAAUAUUUUGUGCAUGGAAUAAUGGAAUAGGACAUCUGUUCUACUUUCAUUGGUUUUUUAGACCAAGAUGUAAUGAUUAAUGGAAGCAGUUGGGGGCAUUAGUAUUACAACGCGAGAGGUGAAAUUCUUAGACCGUUGUAAGACUGACUAAAGCGAAAGCAUUUGCCAAAGAU
RNAcentral lists this ribosomal RNA (1026 nucleotides) under Monocentrota matilei. Its description in RNAcentral is "bacterial SSU rRNA". It matches the Rfam family "Eukaryotic small subunit ribosomal RNA", at positions 48 to 965 of the family's 1831-position model. Lineage: Eukaryota; Metazoa; Arthropoda; Insecta; Diptera; Keroplatidae. RNAcentral also lists the same sequence under 1 other name. The record is from RNAcentral.